CUACUGGGCAACCACAGUGGAGCACAUUCUAAAUCAAGGGACUUAACUGACAUUUUGACAAGUAAAACAGAAGCAGAAACUAAGGCAAAUGGGAACCCUCUGAGGCUUCCCUCUGAAAACUGCCUCAUUAGCUCUGUUUCCUGCCCUGUAAUGUUCAGCCAUUUGUUUUAAAGCAUCCCAAAGAACUCAGGAAGGCAGCAAAGCCAGACUUCACUAACUUCUGCCUCUGGACUCUUGGAAUCGGACAGGACAAAAGCACUGUUAGUGGGUUCCUUAAAAGUACAAAUGGCCCUGGUAGAGCUGGCUGGGCAUUUGGAGAAUGAGUUAUUACUCAUAAACGCUUUCGGAGCCUCAGACACCAGCGCGGUACAUCAAGCGUAUCCAUCAAUUUGAGGGCUUUCUGGACCUCAGUUUACCCACGUACGGAAACGGGCUUGGCAAGGGCCGGGAGGUGAAAUUAAUUAGUGUUUUUAAAAUGCUCUGAGAUUCCCAAGAUGAAAGGAAACGUAGAGGCACGCAGAGAUGAUGACAAUAAUCAUAACAAUAAAAAGAAUGACUAACUUGGAAUUCUGUGUUACGUAAGGAAGCUGAGAAGUUAUCAGAUUCACACAAACAAAAGAAAAGCCCACCGCCCCUUUGUUCCCCUUCCACUUCGCCGGCCUGCAGCCGGGCCGCGGGAGCGAGAACCGGGCCGCCGAGCUGGGGCUCCCCUCCGCCGCGCACCCGCUCCAGCCGUGGGGGAGGGCGUUCCGGGCAGCUCCUCACAAAGGCGCUUCCUCCCUCCGCGCGGGAUGCGGCGCCGCAAACUCUGCUCCCCGCCGCCUCCCCGCGGGCAGGCGGGCGGGCGGGCGCGCAGGCCGCCGCGCCGCCACCGGCAAAGGCUCGGAGGAAGUUCCGCGCCGCCGGCCCUCGCGCCCCCGUUCGCCGCCCGCGCCGCACUCACCGGACGACUGCUGGUGGCCGGAACGCCAGCUCGGCCCGCCGCACGGACACCCGGGGCGCGGGGGCGGCGCGAGCACCGGUUGAACGCAGGCACCAGCGGAGCCCGCCGCCUUCCCGCCAGCCGCCGAGCCCCGCGAGGCCGAGUGGAACGCGGAGCCGAGCGCGGACUAGAGAGAGAGGCUCGGGCCCGCUUUGUGAGCUACAGCUGA
Molecule: long non-coding RNA, 1151 nt
Filed under: Mus spicilegus (steppe mouse)
Lineage: Eukaryota; Metazoa; Chordata; Mammalia; Rodentia; Muridae
Description: lncRNA (ENSMSIG00000014463.1)
Source: RNAcentral